GAUGAAGAACGUAGCGAAAUGCGAUAAGUAAUGUGAAUUGCAGAAUUCAGUGAAUCAUCGAAUCUUUGAACGCACAUUGCGCCCCCCGGCAUUCCGGGGGGCAUGCCUGUCCGAGCGUCAUUACAACCCUCAAGCUCAGCUUGGUAUUGGGCCCCGCCGACCCGGCGGGCCCUAAAGUCAGUGGCGGUGCCGUCCGGCUCCGAGCGUAGUAAUUCUUCUCGCUCUGGAGGUCCGGUCGUGUGCUCGCCAGCAACCCCCAAUUUUUUUCAGGUUGACCUCGGAUCAGGUAGGGAUACCCGCUGAACCUAAGCAUAUCAAUAAGCGGAGGA
Molecule: unclassified non-coding RNA, 329 nt
Filed under: soil metagenome
Description: partial contains 5.8S ribosomal RNA, internal transcribed spacer 2, and large subunit ribosomal RNA
Rfam family: 5.8S ribosomal RNA (bases 1-120)
Source: RNAcentral